Molecule: unclassified non-coding RNA, 923 nt
Filed under: Ascomycota sp. F241 JA-2017
Lineage: Eukaryota; Fungi; Ascomycota
Also listed under: 2 other names
Description: sequence contains ITS1, 5.8S rRNA gene and ITS2
Rfam family: 5.8S ribosomal RNA (bases 580-733)
Source: RNAcentral
AAGUCGUAACAAGGUUUCACCACGGAGACCGUGCAUCCCCCGGGGAGGCAGCGCGACUAAAAACAACGCUGCCGCAUGCAAGUCAGGCAACUGGCAACACGAUCGAAUUGCGGGGACCUCCUAAAGCUUCACAUACCACCUACCCUUGAAAAGGGGCGGCACGGUCAUAAUGGUGGAGAUGCUACAAUGGACGAUCCGCAGCGAAGACCCUACAGCGCAAGCCACGGGUAACGUUCACAGACUAAGUGAUUGUGGGUAGCGUGCUACUUAAGAUAUAGUCGAGCCGUAACUGAAAGGUUAAGGAUGAAGGUCCGUAGGUGAACCUGCGGAAGGAUCAUUACUAGAGCAAUGGAUAGGCAGCGCCCCACAGAAGCUUGCUUCGUGGCGGGCUACCCUACUCCGGUAGGGUUUAGAGCCGUCGAACCCCUCGAAGAAGUUCGGUCCUGAACUCCACCCUUGAAUAAAUUACCUUUGUUGCUUUGGCGGGCCGCCUUGUGCCAGCGGCUUCGGCCGUUGAGCGCCCGCCAGAGGACCACAACUCUUGUUUUUAGUGAUGUCUGAGUACUAUAUAAUAGUUAAAACUUUCAACAACGGAUCUCUUGGUUCUGGCAUCGAUGAAGAACGCAGCGAAAUGCGAUAAGUAAUGUGAAUUGCAGAAUUCAGUGAAUCAUCGAAUCUUUGAACGCACAUUGCGCCCUCUGGUAUUCCGGCGGGCAUGCCUGUUCGAGCGUCAUUAUAACCACUCAAGCUCUCGCUUGGUAUUGGGGUUCGCGGUCUCGCGGCCCCUAAAAUCAGUGGCGGUGCCUGUCGGCUCUACGCGUAGUAAUACUCCUCGCGAUUGAGUCCGGUGGGUCUACUUGCCAACAACCCCCAUUAUUUUACAGGUUGACCUCGGAUCAGGUAGGGAUACCCGCUGAACUUAA